Molecule: long non-coding RNA, 2138 nt
Organism: Pygocentrus nattereri (red-bellied piranha)
Lineage: Eukaryota; Metazoa; Chordata; Actinopteri; Characiformes; Serrasalmidae
Source: Ensembl
AAUUUACUGUAUACACUUUCUGCAGUUGUGCUGUGAAAGGGUUAACUUUCCUUUGGCCUGUCUCUUCCCCAGUGACUAACAUGUAUUAAUAAAAUCAGACUCUGCUGAGGGUGCAAGGGUGUCUGCCCUUUGUGCAUCCUUACAGGCUGUUAAUAACUAUUGUUCCUCUUUUAUUCUGCAAACCACUUGCACUUUUGACUUGUGUGGUCGGGCCCUACCUGGCUGCCUGCAAGCACGUGGGACGGGCUCUCUGUGUUUAUAAAGAGGGGACUUCCCCUUCUUCUGUGUGCUUUGUGAAUAAAACUCUCAUCUCUAUACGAGAGUGUUUGUUCAUCAUUGCACCGAGAGCUCUCUGUCUUGAGACUCAGUGGGAUUUGCCGAGCUGGUUUAUCGCUUCAUUCUCUGGUUUCUGAGGGAGAACACUGUUCAAGGAGACCCUUCCUAACAUGCUGCAUUUGCAAAGCUGCAGUCCUCAUCACAGAUAGCAUUACUCUGCAGACAAGCUGUGGUUGGAAACAAGUCGUUUCAACGAAAAAAAGGUUUCAGGUAGCAGCUCUCAGACCAAACUAUACAGCCUAAAUCUUCGGGCAGCUUCUAGAUGUUUCUAAAAUCUCACGUACUCAUCAGUGCCGGAUGCAUACAGAGUACAACAUGAUUGUGAUUGCUCUUCUGGCUUUGCUCCAGAUAUUGGCCACCGAUGCCAAAUUGUCAGCAUGGCUGAAGCACAAGGGUCCUGAACCUGAAGAAACAGCAGUGGCAGUGGCUGGUAUAGAGAUUUUACAUUAUUUUGUGUUUAUCUCGCCCAGUUUCAGCUCAUAUAUCCUGCAUUCACAUCAGAAAAAGAGAAGUGGGGCAGGAAAGCUUAGUCGUUCUCAUUAAUUUUGCUAUUUACCCUGAUUUCAGUUCUUUAAUGUGAUGUUUGUUUAUCUACUAAUGUGUUCCAUAAAUUUUGAUGAACCUGAAAUUUAACAAUUAACUGGUGCUAAGACAGGGCUGCAAAAGUAUUGGCACCUUACUGAUUCCCUCUGUUGCGUAUUCGUCACACUGGAUGGUUUCAAAACUUGAGAAAACACAUAACAAACACAACUUUAGAAGCUCGUUUCAUGUGCUGAAGGAAAACGUUUUGCCGCACCUACAGCACCAAUGUGAAAAAACACACCUUUAGCAGCAACUCCUGCAAACAAUUACCUUCUGUAACUGGAUAUCACUCUUCCACAUCGCUGUGGAGGAAUGACGGCCCACUCUUCUUUGCAGAAUUCUGCCACAGUGGGGGGCAUUCUUUUAUUCUUUUAUUCUUUUCUUUUUUAUUCCAUUUCUGUGAGGUUUCCCCACCGUUUCGUUAUUUCCAUUUGGAGAUAAUGGCUCACACUGUAGUUCGCUGGAGUCACAGAGCUUUAGAAAUGCCUAUGUUCCCCUUUCCAGGCUGAAAUAUUUUAAAAGCUUUUCUUUCUCCUCCAGAACGUCCUCUGAUUGUGGCGUAAAGUGCAGCUCAUUGAGAUCUUUUAGCCUAAUUCACAGUGUUGAAAAGGUUCCUUCUCAGUGACGUUUAGAUUCAACAGGGCUUGCAGUGAUCAGAGUCUGAAUCUUUUGGUCAUUCGAUUUUCUAAUCAAAGGAUGGCGUUAAAGUAGAGACACACAAGGUAAAAUAUUACUCCAGUAAAAGUAGAAGAUCCUCCCUUUAGACCUCCACUUGAGUAAAACAGGCCUGUGAUUUCUGAGUUUCUGUUUCCGGUUAAGGCGAUAUACAUUUUUUAUUUGGAUAAUUCAAAUCCAACCCUUUAUUCCUUCGUUGUUUGUUUGUUUUUGGAUUUUUUGAUUAGUUUGUGAAACUUUAAAGUGAAGCUGCUUCUUGUCUUUUCAAGUCACAAUAACAGAACCAAAAAUGAGAACUGACCCAUUUUCUGGUUUUUCAAUGCUGGUUUUGAAAUUUGAAUGACCAAAAUACACAGACUACAAAAUACCAAUCAGACCAAUCAGGCCUGGGAGUGUGUAGGUUAAGUAAUUUUAGCUACUGUUAGAUAAUUUUUUCCUUCACUAAAUGAAAUGAUCGUUUAAAAACUGUAUUUUGUGUUUACGAAAAAUUGUUUUCUAUUAGAUUUUUUUGGAAGACAUAGGGGUGAGUUACUUUUUCACAGCGC